Molecule: small RNA, 560 nt
Filed under: Pan troglodytes (chimpanzee)
Lineage: Eukaryota; Metazoa; Chordata; Mammalia; Primates; Hominidae
Description: processed transcript
Source: RNAcentral
AGCAGUGCCAGCCGCACGGCACGCAGGAGGCUCUCUCCAGCCAUGUUGCUCGAGGCUGCACAGUGGGUUCUGACCGUGGAGUUUGAAGCCUCCCUACCCCAGGAGCCUUGGGCCGUGGCUACAGCAUUGCAGGUGGCUGUGAGGCUGUAGAUGUGGGUGCACUGGUGUGCCAGUCCUCGGUUUGUGCACGCCAGGUGGAUCAGCUCAAGCUCAAGGUGAGUCGGCUGGAGGAAGAGUGUGCACUGCUUCGAAGGGCUAGGGGCCCGCCCCCUGGGGCAGAGGAGAAGGAGAAGGAGAAGGAGAAGGAGAAGGAGCCAGACAAUGUGGACCUUGUCUCCGAGCUGCGUGCUGAGAACCAGCGGCUGACAGCGUCGCUGCGGGAGUUGCAGGAGGGCCUGCAGCAGGAGGCGAGCCGGCCGGGGGCCCCGGGCUCCGAGCGCAUCCUGCUGGACAUCCUAGAGCAUGACUGGCGGGAGGCGCAGGACAGCAGGCAGGAGCUGUGCCAGAAGCUGCACGCCGUGCAGGGGGAGCUGCAGUGGGCCGAGGAGCUGCGCGACCAG